AAAACGAACUAGGACGGCGUUGGAUGCAGCGUGCGGGAGGCUGUCCACAUGUGCCCGCGGAAACGGACGGGCUAGCGCGUCCUUGGAGAUGCCCUGAGUUAGUUCAUAGCCGAGCACCGCCGAACUGGCCGACCACCGCCGAAGCACACCUAAAUUCACCGUUCCCCUUCUCCCAAGUCAACCAAACAGUGCCCCGUGCCAUAUCCCGUCCCCAGAAAUCUCGCACUGUCAAUCCUUUCCCAUUCUCGCGCAGAUCUCUCUCCUUCCCUGUUUUCUUCAUCUUUUGCCUCCCGAAAUCUCUAUCUGAGCGAGCGGUUGCCUCCAGACAAAAGGAACCAGUUCCCCUGUCCGCCACCUGUGACCCUAGCUGUGGGCGUCGCCGCCGUCCGGCUUUAAUCGGUACCCGAGUAACAACGACGGCCGGCCGCUGCAAGCACGGCGAGCCACUGGAAGGAUUCAGCACUGAACGCUGCAAGGUUACAACGUUGAGGAAGUUUGAAGAAUAAGCAAAAAAAAACUUGAAGUUCAGAACACGGAGUAUUGGCGAAUGGCCGGUGGGGAAUCACUACUGUUCAUGUGCGCUUCCUGCUUCCUUAUUUGGUUUGUCAAACUUGUGUGUUAUGUUAGACCUAUCAAUGUGUCCGUGUGAGCGAAACUACUGAUAUACACUCAGGCUCGGAGCUGUGAUGCCUUCGGUACCAACUCCCCCCCUUUCUAUGUACCUCCAUCAUGUUUUCUCCCCCGGAUCGAUAGUUGCUAAUCUAAUACUCUCCACUGAAGAGAGAAGUGGAACUGAUUAUUUUAGAAUCUCUUACAAACAAGGCAGACCUUUAUUCCAAUAGAGAGGAAAUUUGGCA
This is a long non-coding RNA of Lolium perenne, 857 nucleotides long. RefSeq lists it as uncharacterized. Lineage: Eukaryota; Viridiplantae; Streptophyta; Magnoliopsida; Poales; Poaceae. The record is from RefSeq and is a predicted model, not a curated record.